This 481-nucleotide ribosomal RNA is filed under the name uncultured bacterium. Its description in RNAcentral is "partial 16S ribosomal RNA". It matches the Rfam family "Bacterial small subunit ribosomal RNA", at positions 28 to 507 of the family's 1533-position model. The record is from RNAcentral.
GAUGAACGCUGGCGGCGUGCCUAACACAUGCAAGUCGAGCGAAGCGCUUAAAUUAGAUUUCUUCGGAAUGACGAUUUUUGUGACUGAGCGGCGGACGGGUGAGUAACGCGUGGGUAACCUGCCUCAUACAGGGGGAUAACAGUUAGAAAUGACUGCUAAUACCGCAUAAGACCCCAGCUUCGCAUGAAGCGGUGGUAAAAACUCCGGUGGUAUGAGAUGGACCCGCGUCUGAUUAGCCAGUUGGUAAGGUAACGGCUUACCAAGGCGACGAUCAGUAGCCGACCUGAGAGGGUGACCGGCCACAUUGGGACUGAGACACGGCCCAGACUCCUACGGGAGGCAGCAGUGGGGAAUAUUGCACAAUGGGGGAAACCCUGAUGCAGCGACGCCGCGUGAAGGAUGAAGUAUUUCGGUAUGUAAACUUCUAUCAGCAGGGAAGAAAGUGACGGUACCUGACUAAGAAGCCCCGGCUAACUACGUG